RNAcentral lists this long non-coding RNA (3066 nucleotides) under Homo sapiens (human). RNAcentral's name for it is "non-protein coding LINC02361:10". The record is from RNAcentral. Lineage: Eukaryota; Metazoa; Chordata; Mammalia; Primates; Hominidae.
GACUCCCUCGGCGAAGAGGCCCCCGCGGCCGGCCGAGCUCCGUGGACUCCGCAGGAGCGGCCCCGCCCCUCACACUACGCCGGGCGGUUCCCUCCGAGCCCCGCCGGGACAGCGUCGACGCUGCACACACCCCAGAGAAGCCAGAGGACGGCGCCUGCACCGGACACAGCGCAACACCGGCACAGCACAGCGUCCACACCACAAGUGAGCCUAGGCAGCUGUGUCUACACUGCAGACGCCGGCCUGAGCGCACGCGUCUUCAUGCAGGCUCAGCAGAGGGGGAAGAACACCUCCCCGAGGGUGGAAGAGCUGUGGCCAGCAGACAGAUGGACGGACAGACGGACACAGGCGAACAGGCAGCGCAGGGGUGAGCCGAGCCGGUCAAAUGGGCCAGGACCCGGCUCCGUGUGCCCUUCACAGUCAGGAUGACAGAACCCCGUGGAAUAUGAAAAAUGCCGGGAGACAGACCCCGGAGGCACAGCCCCUCACCGGGCAGGGAGGCCGCCAGAGGGAAGCGCAGCUCCAGGUGCGCGCCCCCCCACGCCCACCCCAUCCCCCGCUGGGCAGGGAGGGACCCCACCUGCGCCCUCAGGCGGUGCUCAAGAUGGGGAUAGGGUGAGCUGCAGAACCGAUUUCAUCUCUGGAGUGAAAUGGAAUGAUGGGUUUGUGUGAAAUCAGGACAGAGCUGGGGAGGUGGCGGAGCCGGGACGGGAAGAGGGCAGAGCAGUGGGCUCAUUCCCCGGAACCAGCAUCUCCUGGCCCGGUUUAGCCACUGAGGGAAGCUUCUCUGUGUAUUGAGCCUGGCUGCCCAGAGAGCAGCCCCACCCUCCCUCCUGCUCCUGCUCCUCUCCCUCCCCCAACUUCUCGUCCCCUCUUCCUCACCCCUGCCCCCACCUCCAGCCUGACUCUAACGCUGCACUGGCCUUUAGUGUCUCAGAACACAGAGCAGUUGCUGGGCAGAAUCCCCCGUGCCACGAUGCGUCCACGCACAACACGGGAACUAAACCACCCGAAACGCAGCAGGUUAAAGCAGCGCUGGGCUCCUGGUCCUCACAAUUCUCUGGGUCCAUGGGGGCUCCCUGGGCUGGCUCAUGGGCCGCCAUGGUCACCAGCAGGGCUGGCCAGGCCGGGCAGCAGACGGCUCCUGGCAGCUGGCGGGUGGGGCUGGCCGUCGCUGCGGCCUGGGCUGUCCUCCGCACGGCCUCCUGCCUCAGUUUUCUGUUUCUGAUGAGCCCCGUAUCUAGCGGUUCAGAGCAACGCCAGUUCAUCCCCUGGCAGCUUCCAUGGCCAGGACUCAGCCACGGUGUGGGUGGAUUUGCCACUCAGGGCUCACAGCCUGGAGUCCAGGUGCCAGCAGGGCAGGUGCCGUUCUGCAGGCUCUGGGGAAGAACCCGCCUGCAGGCUCGCGGGGGGGCCUGGCAGCUCUGGGGGCCUGCAGCGGCAGGGCUGAGGUCCCGGCCUCCUUGCAGGUUGUCAGCCGGGUCCCCUCUCGGCUCCUGAAGGCUGCCGGCAUCUUCCUCUCAAGGGCCCUUCCCAUCUUCCAACCGGAAACAGCAUGGCCAGUUCUCCUGGCUCUGAGGGGCUAGUGAGCAGGCGAGGCCACCCCGAUGACCCCCCUUUUGAGUUUAACUGAGGACGGCGCACGUCCUCACGUUCCAGGGCUCCUGUGGAGAAAUUCCGCACACCACCCUCACCUUCCUGUAGGUCAGGCCGGUUCCUUCUGCGGUGGGCGUGGGAGAGCCACAGCCCAGUGGAGAGGCGUUGCAAGGCCCCACACCCCUUCCACCAUGUUCUACCAACCACGGCAAAUCAAAGGCCACCGAGACCCAGGGCCUAGGGACACAGACCCAUCCCGGGAGGGGAGGUGCCGCCCAGUCACAGUCCCACCAGUGCAUGGACACAGGGAGAAUUGCCCGGGCCCCGGGUUUGGUGAAUCCGGCAGCCCGCCCUCUGCCCCAGCGAGUCCCUUCCCCUCUCAUAAAACCGCAUUCUCCCCUCCCUAGACCACCAGAGCCCCAUCUGAUUAAGGCAUCGAGAUCAAAGCUCAGCAGAGGGCGGCUCAUGAUGGGCAGCUCAAAAAAAUAAACCCACCAAUCAGAGUCCGUGUUCCUGUGACCGGUGGCGGGUUCGGAUGCAGAGGAGGCUUCUCAGUGCGGUUCCUCCUCAUCUCGGAACCUGCCACCCCACUCAAGCCCGACAUAGGCCAGGACAGCCAGGACGGCCGCAGCGAGGGCAACACGAGGCCCGUCGACAUCCUGAGGCCCCCGGGCCUGUCGCCGAGUCCCGGCUUGGGGAGUGUCCCCGGGCCACACUGGUCCUGCUCCCGGCUGUGUGGUCUCCCAGGCGCGUGGCUCCUCCCUCCGGGGCCCAGGCUCUGGUGUGAGCCACUUUUUCCAUAGGAGACGCCCAUACUUGCAGCUCACGCCUUUGUCUGGUGCCCUGGCCUCACACCUAUAGGAAUUGGGUACCUGGGGGCCUCUUCAUCUUUACUUGUCUCAGCUUAGAGAAGCCCAGCUACACUUCCUCCAUGCCUGGAUUCAUGCACGGCCCCACAGGGUGAGGCCUGGACACCCUCACGGGCACUGGGGCUCCACGGAUGCAGAAGGCAGCCUGGCCCGGUAGCUCGGGGGUCUGAGAUGGAGGUGGAGUAAGACAGAGUGACAAAGGCUGCGUCCUGGAGGCAGGCUCGGAGCCUCCCUGAGCUCAGAGAGCCCGCGUGCGCCAGGAAGCCACACCUGCAGGACCCGAGUCGGAACUCAGAGGCUGGUACAGCCGCGGUGCUUGUCCUGUAGAUAAGAAUGGCCUCCUCUGGCGGCCAAAGUUAAUUAAACUGACAAUCUUGAUAAGUUGCACAGUUACCUGCUCGGGGACAAAGAAGAUGGGAGCCUUGUUUGUGGUUUCUUCUUGUUCUUUCCUGUGCCCCACAGUCAUUUUAAAAUUAAAUUAAAUGGCUUAUCUGCACUAACCCAAGUUGACCGGCUGGUAUUUCCUGGGCGGCGAAGUGCUGGCUGCCCGGCCUGUGCCCUGCACACGCUCCCCAUCAGAGCACAACGUCGCCGGGCCACG